ACCUUCAUGUCAACUUUGGGAAAAUUCUCUACAAUCUCCGGAGCAUUAUAUAGCGGGACUCCAACGUCAGGACUGUUGGGAACAGCUCCAUCGUCUUUGCAAAAUGCAGUUGAGAAAAAAGAUAUUACAAAUUACAAAUAAAUUAAUUUUACAUAUAUCAACAUAAACUACCGAUUCUAAAAGUUGCCAUAGUUCUAAAGCUUGAUUCAAACAACAACCAUUCUAAUGAAAAUNNNNNNNNNNNNNNNNNUUCUUUCAUUUAAUUGUAAUUUUACAUAUAUCAACAUUUAAUUAAUUUAUUAUUCCAACAACACAGUUAAUGUUUUUACCCUGCCCAUUUACACAUGCAGGAAGAACAUUCUGAGACCCAUACCUGGGAUCAGACAGUAACCAAAGCAAUGGUUAGCUUGCAGAAAAAUCAAGUAUUGGUAAAACCCUAUUCAACCUUUCUUAUUAAUUAUUAUGGGGUCAACUUAGUAUAGUGAACUAUAGUAAUUCGAUAGUAACGAAAUGCGAUAUUAUAACACAAAUCUAUUACAAUAUUCUAAUAUGUUUUUCAUUCAUCAUGCUUACAUAACUUUUAUUCCUUAUAUGAGAAUAUAACAAUAUUUCUUCGAUUUAUGAUCAGUUCCUAAUUUGUACAUUAUAACAGCAUUUACCAAAUGAGCUUUCAAGCACAGUUAUGUAGCUAGUUACUUCCGCAAAACAAAUUAUUAUUAUUUCUUUGGAAAAUAUAAAAAGAAAAAAAGAUUUAGACUCCCUGAGACCAAAGUCUCCAAUCUUUAUGUCACCAUUACCGUCCAGGAAGAUGUUGUUGGGAUUUAAGUCCCUAUGUAUGAU
RNAcentral lists this long non-coding RNA (840 nucleotides) under Trifolium pratense (red clover). Its description in RNAcentral is "long non-coding RNA (TPRA_LNC008677)". The record is from RNAcentral. Lineage: Eukaryota; Viridiplantae; Streptophyta; Magnoliopsida; Fabales; Fabaceae.